RNAcentral lists this ribosomal RNA (379 nucleotides) under uncultured bacterium. Its description in RNAcentral is "bacterial SSU rRNA". It matches the Rfam family "Bacterial small subunit ribosomal RNA", at positions 790 to 1167 of the family's 1533-position model. The record is from RNAcentral.
GUAGUCCACGCCGUAAACGUUGGGCGCUAGAUGUGGGGACCAUUCCACGGUUUCCGUGUCGCAGCUAACGCAUUAAGCGCCCCGCCUGGGGAGUACGGCCGCAAGGCUAAAACUCAAAGGAAUUGACGGGGGCCCGCACAAGCGGCGGAGCAUGCGGAUUAAUUCGAUGCAACGCGAAGAACCUUACCAAGGCUUGACAUAUACGAGAACGGGCUAGAAAUAGUCAACUCUUUGGACAAUCGUAAACAGGUGGUGCAUGGUUGUCGUCAGCUCGUGUCGUGAGAUGUUGGGUUAAGUCCCGCAACGAGCGCAACCCUCGUUCUAUGUUGCCAGCACGUAAUGGUGGGAACUCAUAGGAGACUGCCGGGGUCAACUCGGA